This 27-nucleotide non-coding RNA is filed under the name Bombyx mori (domestic silkworm). The record is from RNAcentral. Lineage: Eukaryota; Metazoa; Arthropoda; Insecta; Lepidoptera; Bombycidae.
AAUUAUAUGAUGAGGAACUGCAGAGAG